Molecule: unclassified non-coding RNA, 422 nt
Filed under: soil metagenome
Description: partial contains 5.8S ribosomal RNA, internal transcribed spacer 2, and large subunit ribosomal RNA
Rfam family: 5.8S ribosomal RNA (bases 1-120)
Source: RNAcentral
GAUGAAGAACGUAGUGAAAUGCGAUACGUAAUGUGAAUUGCAGAAUUCAGUGAAUCAUCGAAUCUUUGAACGCACAUUGCACUCUCUGGUAUUCCGGAGAGUAUGCUUGUUUGAGUAUCUGUAAACAUCUCAAAUCUCUCUUCGCUUGCGUCGAGAGAAUUGGAUUUGAGCGAUCCCGACUCCUUCGUCAGAAAGAGGAGGGUCGCUUGAAAUGCAGGUGCAGCUGGACAUUCUUCUGAGCUAAAAGCAUAUCUAUUUAGUCCCGUCAAACGGAUUAUUACUUUUGCUUCAGCUAAUAUAAAGGUCGAAUGAACUACCAACGCUGAUUGCAGGAAAACUUGUUCGUUUAUUCGGACUUGUAAACUCGAUCUCAAAUCAAGUAAGACUACCCGCUGAACUUAAGCAUAUCAAUAAGCGGAGGA